UAAGGAAUAUUGCGCAAUGGGCGAAAGCCUGACGCAGCGACGCCGCGUGUGGGAGGAAGCUCUUCGGGGUGUAAACCACUGUCAGAGGGGAAGAAACCCGUCUAGUCGAAUAGGCUAGGCGCUUGACGGUACCCUCACAGGAAGCGCCGGCUAACUCCGUGCCAGCAGCCGCGGUAAGACGGAGGGCGCAAGCGUUGUUCGGAAUUACUGGGCGUAAAGCGCGGGCAGGCGGUUUGUUAAGUCGUUUGUGAAAAUCCGGGGCUCAACUCCGUGAAAUGCAGACGAUACUGGCAGACUGGAGACCGGUAGAGGCUAGCGGAAUUCCAGGUGUAGCGGUGGAAUGCGUAGAUAUCUGGAAGAACACCUGUGGCGAAGGCGGCUAGCUGGGCCGGGUCUGACGCUCAUCCGCGAAAGCGUGGGGAGCAAACAGGAUUAGAUACCCCCGUAGUCC
Molecule: ribosomal RNA, 451 nt
Filed under: uncultured prokaryote
Description: bacterial SSU rRNA
Rfam family: Bacterial small subunit ribosomal RNA
Source: RNAcentral